This 178-nucleotide unclassified non-coding RNA is filed under the name uncultured Cortinarius. RNAcentral describes it as "sequence contains ITS2". Lineage: Eukaryota; Fungi; Basidiomycota; Agaricomycetes; Agaricales; Cortinariaceae. The record is from RNAcentral.
AUAUAUAAUCAACCUACUCUUUGUUGAGUGGUUUGGAUGUGGGGGUUUGCUGGCCUGUUCAGCUCCUCUGAAAUACAUUAGCAGAACAACCUUGCUCAUUGGUGUGAUAGCUUAUCUACGCUUAUGAAUGCGAGGGGACAGUUCAGCUUUCUAACGGUCUUUGGACAAUUCAUCAUUA